Long non-coding RNA from Prosopis cineraria, 1011 nucleotides. RefSeq lists it as uncharacterized. NCBI's taxonomy places the organism in Eukaryota, Viridiplantae, Streptophyta, Magnoliopsida, Fabales, Fabaceae. The transcript has 3 exons. The record is from RefSeq and is a predicted model, not a curated record.
GAAAACUCCAGAACCACCGAGAGUCAUUUUUGUUCAUUCUCUGCUCAUCUCCUCCUCGUCGUUGUCCUUUAAUUCUUCCCUCAUCGUCACUGAGCUUGCUUGUUUCUUCUCCGUUGAGGAUCUGCCGUGAAACGGCACUGCUUCUGGUUUCCCCUGUCUCUGGUUGCUGCCGAUUUCUGAUCACUGUUGAUGAAGUGUGCUUAGUCUUUGCAUCUUAUUCCUCCUUAGCUGCUGUUGUGUUCAGAUCACCGUGAAUCUGCCACUGUCGAGGCCGAACUCGCAAAUUCGUCUGCUCCUCUGUUCAUCAACUGGUCUUCUCUUCAUGCGACGGUGAUGCCUGAAUCUUUCUUCUCCUCUGUUAAUGCGCUGCCAUGGGAUCGCCUCCCGUCUGUGCUGUUUGUGUGGAUGUUCCAAGAUCUUCUUCUCCCUCCUUCGUUCUGCGUCCUACUUUCUCCAUUUUUGCUUGACUAGAACCUUCUUUUGUUCUACUCUGUCGUGAUCACACGUGAGUUAGGGAGGUUCAACUUCUUCUCUUCAUUUCUUUACUGCAUUGGCGGGUAACUGUAAAGAGGGUAGCUUGAUUGGAGUUGUAAGAAAUGAAUUUUGAGUUUUGAAGAUUCUACAGAUGGUAUAGUUGAAUUCGUGACUCGAGAUAUCCACUGAGGGGUGUUAUUGCUGAAUUGAAGCUGAAGAAUUAUUUUUGUCAAAUCCUAAAUUGAUGAAAAAUUUGAACUUCAUACCCACGUUGGUGUCUAGCCUUAGAUGCUCCACGUAGACUACAGGUAGGAUCCUUACAUUUCUUUUAAAAUUAAAUAUUUAAUUUAAUAUUGUAAUAAUUUCUAACUACUCUAUUAGGUGUUUAACAUAUUAAUUUCAGAGUUUCUCCAAUCAUGGCUUAAGGGAUAUGAGUUUUGUACCCAUAUUCCAUGCCGGUCACACUUAAUUUUUGGGGUGUGACAUAAGUUAUCAAGUGAAUUUAUGCGCUCGUCACCUUCACUAUCAUAACUCAAA